RNAcentral lists this ribosomal RNA (253 nucleotides) under uncultured bacterium. RNAcentral describes it as "partial 16S ribosomal RNA". It matches the Rfam family "Bacterial small subunit ribosomal RNA", at positions 524 to 776 of the family's 1533-position model. The record is from RNAcentral.
UACGUAGGGUGCAAGCGUUGUCCGGAUUUACUGGGUUUAAAGGGUGCGUAGGCGGGUUACUAAGUCUGGGAUGAAAUGGCUGCGCUCAACGCGGUCGCUGUCCUGGAUACUGGUGAUCUUGAGUAGGGAUGAGGUAGCUGGAAUGAGUGGUGUAGCGGUGAAAUGCGUAGAGAUCACUCAGAACACCGAAUGUGAAGACAGGCUACUGGACCCUAACUGACGCUGAGGCACGAAAGCGUGGGGAUCAAACAGG